GAUGAACGCUAGCGGCAGGCCUAACACAUGCAAGUCGAGGGGCAGCACAUAAAGUGGUUUACUUCUUUUGGUGGCGACCGGCGGACGGGUGCGUAACGCGUCUGCAACCUGCCUCCAACAGGGGGAUAACGGAGAGAAAUUUCCACUAAUACCCCAUAAUAUCAGAAUCGGCAUCGGUUUUGGUGGAAAACUCCGGUGGUUGGAGCUGGGCAUGCGUUGUAUUAGUUAGUUGGUGAGUUAACGGCUCACCAAGUCAACGAUACCUAGGGGGAAUCAGAGGUUAGCCCCCCACAAUGGUACUGAGAGACGGACCAAACUCCUACGGGAGGCAGCAGUGAGGAAUAUUGGUCAAUGGGGGCAACCCUGAACCAGCCAUGCCGCGUGCAGGAAGACGGCUCUAUGAGUUGUAAACUGCUUUUACAAGGGGAUAAAUCGGUGUACGUGUACACCGUUGAAGGUACCUUGGGAAUAAGGAUCGGCUAACUCCGUGCCAGCCGCCGCCGUAA
This 506-nucleotide ribosomal RNA is filed under the name uncultured bacterium. RNAcentral's name for it is "partial 16S ribosomal RNA". It matches the Rfam family "Bacterial small subunit ribosomal RNA", at positions 28 to 523 of the family's 1533-position model. The record is from RNAcentral.